GAUGAACGCUGGCGGUAUGCCUUAUACAUGCAAGUCGUACGAGAGUUUUUAACUCAAGUGGCGGACGGGUGAGUAACACGUAAGAAUUUGCCUUUAGGAGGGGGAUAACAGCUGGAAACGGUUGCUAAUACCCCAUAUGCUUUCGAGUGAAAUGGAUUUUUCGCCUAAAGAGAAGCUUGCGGCUGAUUAGCUUGUUGGUGAGGUAAUGGCUCACCAAGGCGACGAUCAGUAUCUGGUUUGAGAGGACGAUCAGACACACUGGAACUGAGACACGGUCCAGACUCCUACGGGAGGCAGCAGUAGGGAAUUUUCCGCAAUGGGCGAAAGCCUGACGGAGCAAUACCGCGUGAGGGAUGACGGCCUAUGGGUUGUAAACCUCUUUUUUCAGGGAGGAAUCAAUGACGUGUACCUGAAGAAUAAGCAUCGGCUAACUCCGUGCCAGCCGCCGCCGUAACAC
RNAcentral lists this ribosomal RNA (457 nucleotides) under uncultured bacterium. RNAcentral's name for it is "bacterial SSU rRNA". It matches the Rfam family "Bacterial small subunit ribosomal RNA", at positions 28 to 526 of the family's 1533-position model. The record is from RNAcentral.